CACUACUUUUGAGCGGCUGAUGAAAUGGACUUGAUCAAAUAAUAAAGAGAAGUUGGAUGCUGUGAGGAAUAAAGAGUGGGAUAAUUAAGACACAUUAGCAAGCUCAGUGGGAAACAAAGAAGUCAGCUCGAAGAAGUCACCUUUGUCUUAAAAGGAAGAGAAAGAGAAGGUAAUCUCUGGCUUUUUUUUUCUUCCCCCAUUUGCCUUUGAGAUGUCAAACUUACUUUUCACAUCUUCAUUUUCCUCCUGAUUCUUUGUUUGUUCUUGGAGGGCAGGAGGAAAGAAGGGUCCCCACCUACUCAAGUGCCCCAGCUGGGAUUUUUCUGGUGGAGCUGGGGGACAAUGAAAAGCAUUGAACCGUGGGGAGCUUCAACCACAAAGACAAAAAGUCUUCUUGCAUCCAAUCAAGAAUCCUACCAGCCCCCAGGUGAGGGCGUUCAGUCAGACCCCUGGGUGAGGCUCUGUUGCUCUAACUGUGACAUAGUUCUGAUAUCCAGGAGAAAUCCAGGAAGAAAUGAAGACGUAUGUGAAAUUCAUUCAGCUUCAUACUCCAACCAAAUGGGCCACUUGGAACAUUAAAUGGUACAAUAUAUUCUUAUUGGGGUUGAAUGUGCAACGUUUCUUGGGGAAUUCCUCUGUUC
RNAcentral lists this long non-coding RNA (641 nucleotides) under Rattus norvegicus (Norway rat). Its description in RNAcentral is "long non-coding RNA NONRATT033377". The record is from RNAcentral. Lineage: Eukaryota; Metazoa; Chordata; Mammalia; Rodentia; Muridae.